GACAGAGGGUGCAAACGUUGCUCGGAAUCACUGGGCGUAAAGGGCGUGUAGGCGGGAAGGAUAGUCAGGUGUGAAAGCCCUGGGCUCAACCCAGGAACUGCAUUUGAAACUCCCUUUCUUGAGUGUCGGAGAGGAAAGCGGAAUUCCUGGUGUAGAGGUGAAAUUCGUAGAUAUCAGGAGGAACACCGGUGGCGAAGGCGGCUUUCUGGACGACAACUGACGCUGAGACGCGAAAGCGUGGGGAGCAAACAGG
This 253-nucleotide ribosomal RNA is filed under the name uncultured bacterium. Its description in RNAcentral is "partial 16S ribosomal RNA". It matches the Rfam family "Bacterial small subunit ribosomal RNA", at positions 524 to 776 of the family's 1533-position model. The record is from RNAcentral.